AUGGCUCAGGACGAACGCUGGCGGCGUGCUUAACACAUGCAAGUCGAGCGGUAAGGCCUUUCGGGGUACACGAGCGGCGAACGGGUGAGUAACACGUGGGUGAUCUGCCCUGCACUUCGGGAUAAGCCUGGGAAACUGGGUCUAAUACCGGAUAUGACCUCCUAUCGCAUGGUGGGUGGUGGAAAGAUUUAUCGGUGCAGGAUGGGCCCGCGGCCUAUCAGCUUGUUGGUGGGGUAAUGGCCUACCAAGGCGACGACGGGUAGCCGACCUGAGAGGGUGACCGGCCACACUGGGACUGAGACACGGCCCAGACUCCUACGGGAGGCAGCAGUGGGGAAUAUUGCACAAUGGGCGAAAGCCUGAUGCAGCGACGCCGCGUGAGGGAUGACGGCCUUCGGGUUGUAAACCUCUUUCAGCAGGGACGAAGCGCAAGUGACGGUACCUGCAGAAGAAGCACCGGCUAACUACGUGCCAGCAGCCGCGGUAAUACGUAGGGUGCAAGCGUUGUCCGGAAUUACUGGGCGUAAAGAGUUCGUAGGCGGUUUGUCGCGUCGUUUGUGAAAACCAGCAGCUCAACUGCUGGCUUGCAGGCGAUACGGGCAGACUUGAGUACUGCAGGGGAGACUGGAAUUCCUGGUGUAGCGGUGAAAUGCGCAGAUAUCAGGAGGAACACCGGUGGCGAAGGCGGGUCUCUGGGCAGUAACUGACGCUGAGGAACGAAAGCGUGGGUAGCGAACAGGAUUAGAUACCCUGGUAGUCCACGCCGUAAACGGUGGGCGCUAGGUGUGGGUUCCUUCCACGGAAUCCGUGCCGUAGCUAACGCAU
Molecule: ribosomal RNA, 825 nt
Filed under: Rhodococcus sp. (in: high G+C Gram-positive bacteria)
Lineage: Bacteria; Bacillati; Actinomycetota; Actinomycetes; Mycobacteriales; Nocardiaceae
Description: bacterial SSU rRNA
Rfam family: Bacterial small subunit ribosomal RNA
Source: RNAcentral